Erpetoichthys calabaricus (reedfish) is the source of this 316-nucleotide long non-coding RNA. RefSeq lists it as uncharacterized. The record is from RefSeq and is a predicted model, not a curated record. The transcript is spliced from 3 exons. NCBI's taxonomy places the organism in Eukaryota, Metazoa, Chordata, Cladistia, Polypteriformes, Polypteridae.
CCUUGGCCAAAGGUCCAGAAAAUACUGAAGCAGAAGUUGAGGAUAUUCUUGAUAUCGAUAUUCGUAAUCAACUUAUAGAGAUAAAAACAGCUACAUCAGACACACAAUUGCAAGUGGCUAUCAGUAGAGCAUCCUGCAUUUUAAGCCUUUCCGGGCGUUUCAGAAAAAUCACUUUGGAAAAUAAAGGAGCUGUUACCAAAGAUGUGGCACAUUGGUAUGUGUUACAGAGAACAAGAACUCCAUUUGAAAGAUUUCAAGAAGGACUGCAGAGCCUUGGAGUUCUUUCAGCAUUGCAGCAGUUUCCACAGCAGCUUCA